UGGGGAAUCUUGGACAAUGGGGGAAACCCUGAUCCAGCCAUUCCGCGUGAGUGAAGAAGGCCUUCGGGUUGUAAAGCUCUUUCGGCAGGAACGAAACGGUUUUGGGCUAAUACCCCAGACUACUGACGGUACCUGAAGAAGAAGCACCGGCUAACUACGUGCCAGCAGCCGCGGUAAUACGUAGGAUGCGAGCGUUAAUCGGAUUUACUGGGCGUAAAGCAUGCGCAGGCGGCGGUUCAAGUCAGGUGUGAAAUCCCCGAGCUUAACUUGGGAAUUGCGCUUGAAACUAGAUCGCUAGAGUACGGCAGAGGGGGGUAGAAUUCCACGUGUAGCAGUGAAAUGCGUAGAGAUGUGGAGGAACACCGAUGGCGAAGGCAGCCCCCUGGGCCUGUACUGACGCUCAUGCAUGAAAGCGUGGGGAGCAAACAGGAUUAGAUACCCAAGUAGUCCCUGAGCGGGCUGGCAAGGCGCAU
This 473-nucleotide ribosomal RNA is filed under the name uncultured bacterium. Its description in RNAcentral is "bacterial SSU rRNA". It matches the Rfam family "Bacterial small subunit ribosomal RNA", at positions 355 to 825 of the family's 1533-position model. The record is from RNAcentral.